Molecule: long non-coding RNA, 1147 nt
Filed under: Salmo salar (Atlantic salmon)
Lineage: Eukaryota; Metazoa; Chordata; Actinopteri; Salmoniformes; Salmonidae
Description: lncRNA (ENSSSAG00000112209.1)
Source: RNAcentral
AAGGAAGUUGACAUGUCAUCACUUCAUUUUUUUGCGCCUGCGCAUAAAUCUGAGAGACGUGAGUUUGUCAUCAUUUUUUAUCUAGACAUAGGAUAGGUUGUGUGAAAAUAUUACUGAUGUUUAACGUUAAAAAUGGACCAAAAGAUUAAUGCUAAACAACAUUUGACAUGUUUGAACGAACAUAAAUAGAUUAUUUACUAGGUUUUUUUAGCUUUUCGGCGUGAUUUUACCAGCCCCACACCACGUUUUGUGGGAGCAUAAUGAACGCUAAGUACUUGGUGUUAUUUGGACAUAAAUUAUGAACUUUGUCAAAAGAAACCACAUUUGUUCCGGACCUGGAAUGCCUUCCGGACCUGGGAUCCUGCCUUCUGAUGGAGAUAAUCAAAGGACCUGAGCCCUAGGACCAUGCCUCAGGACUACCUGGUAUGAUGACUCCUUGCUGUCCCCAGUCCACCUGGCCGUGCUGCUGCUCCAGUUUCAACUGUUCUGCCUGCGGCUAUGGAACCCUGACCUGUUCACCGGACGUGCUUGUUGCACCCUCGACAACUACUAUGAUUAUUAUUAUUUGACCAUGCUGGUCAUUUGUGAACAUUUUAACAUCUUGACCAUGUUCUGUUAUAAUAUCCACCCUGCACAGCCAGAAGAGGACUGGCCACCCCUCAUAGCCUGGUUCCUCUCUAGGUUUCUUCCUAGGUUUUUGGCCUUUCUAGGGAGUUUUUCCUAGGGAGUUUUUCCUAGCCACCGUGCUUCUUUCACAUGCAUUGCUUGCUGUUUGGGGUUUUAGGCUGGGUUUCUGUACAGCACUUUGAGAUAUCAGCUGAUGUACGAAGGGCUAUAUAAAUAAAUUUGAUUUGAAAUUUGAUUUGAAGAAACAAAGAGAAGAAGUGAGAUGGAAAGAGGGAGGGGUGUUUGUGAAAUGGAUGGAGUGUCAGGAUGACAGGGGUAGGAGAGAGAAACCAGAUGUAUUUUAGUCAGUUCUUCCCCAUAAAAUAUGUUCUCUUAUGAUUUCAUGAUUUUCUUCAUCUCAUCCGACUCCUUGAAUAGAUUUAAUAGUAUUACAUUAGCGGUUUUUAUUGCUGCAUGAAUAUUCAAUCAGCCAUAUACUAGACAAUCACCUGCAUUCUUGUACUGUACUCUCUACCUACUG